Molecule: ribosomal RNA, 514 nt
Filed under: uncultured bacterium
Lineage: Bacteria
Description: bacterial SSU rRNA
Rfam family: Bacterial small subunit ribosomal RNA
Source: RNAcentral
UAGUCCACGCCGUAAACGAUGUCUACUAGCCGUUGGGGGGCUUGACCCCUUAGUGGCGCAGCUAACGCGUUAAGUAGACCGCCUGGGGAGUACGGCCGCAAGGUUAAAACUCAAAUGAAUUGACGGGGGCCCGCACAAGCGGUGGAGCAUGUGGUUUAAUUCGAUGCAACGCGAAGAACCUUACCAGGCCUUGACAUCCCGAGAAGUCGCUAGAGAUAGCUUCGUGCCUUCGGGAACUCGGUGACAGGUGCUGCAUGGCUGUCGUCAGCUCGUGUCGUGAGAUGUUGGGUUAAGUCCCGNAACGAGCGCAACCCUUGCCUUAGUUGCUAGCAGGUUAUGCUGAGAACUCUAAGGNGACUGCCGGUGACAAACCGGGAGGAAGGUGGGGACGACGUCAAGUCAUCAUGGCCCUUACGGCCUGGGCUACACACGUGCUACAAUGGGACGCACAGAGGGCUGCAAACCCGCGGGGGGAGCGUAAUCCCACAAAACGUCUCGUAGUCCAGAUUGGAGU